RNAcentral lists this ribosomal RNA (433 nucleotides) under uncultured bacterium. RNAcentral describes it as "partial 16S ribosomal RNA". It matches the Rfam family "Bacterial small subunit ribosomal RNA", at positions 30 to 507 of the family's 1533-position model. The record is from RNAcentral.
AGCGAACGCUGGCGGCAGGCUUAACACAUGCAAGUCGAGCGGGCACUUCGGUGUCAGCGGCAGACGGGUGAGUAACACGUGGGAACGUACCCUUCGGUUCGGAAUAACGCUGGGAAACUAGCGCUAAUACCGGAUACGCCCUUUUGGGGAAAGGUUUACUGCCGAAGGAUCGGCCCGCGUCUGAUUAGCUAGUUGGUGGGGUAAUGGCCUAGCAAGGCGACGAUCAGGAGCUGGUCUGAGAGGAUGACCAGCCACGCUGGGAAUGAGACACGGACCAGAAUCCGACGGGAGGGAGCGGUGGGGAAUAUAGGACAAGGGGCGCAAGCGUAAUCAAGCCAUGCGGGGUGAGAGAGGAAGGGCGUAGGGUUGUAAAGCUCUUUUGGCCGGGACGAUAAUGACGGUACCGGAAGAAUAAGCCCCGGCUAACUUCGUG